This 172-nucleotide ribosomal RNA is filed under the name Symbiodinium sp. clade D. RNAcentral's name for it is "Durusdinium sp. clade D partial large subunit ribosomal RNA". Lineage: Eukaryota; Dinophyceae; Suessiales; Symbiodiniaceae. The record is from RNAcentral.
GUUUUUGUUCAGUACAAAUAAUAUGCUGUCUAAGUAAUACAUCUAACUAAAGGACAAAAAGACCCUUUGAAGCUUUAUAGGGAUAAAACUUUGAUUGCAUUUUUUAGCUUAGGCCGCUCAAAGAUCUAUAUCUGAGGUGUGCCUUAAUAAAUUUAUUUAUUGGUCUUGCAUA